UGGCACGAGAGUUUCAGGAUUUGACGCAGACUACUGAGACUGUGGCGGAGAUCACCGCCAAGUUCAGGGAGAGGGCUCUUCUUGUACCGCAGUAUGUCGCGGAUGAGGAGAUGAAGAAGGCCCGAUAUCAUGAGAUGUUGAGGGAUGACAUCAGGGAGUUCGUGAGCAGAUCCAACUGUAAGACGCUGGAAGAUAUGAUUUCNGUAAGACGCUAAGAUAUGAUUUCUCGGGCUAGAGAAAGGGAGAUUAAUUUGGAGCAAAUCCGGAAGAGGAAGCCGG
This 279-nucleotide long non-coding RNA is filed under the name Lactuca sativa (garden lettuce). Its description in RNAcentral is "long non-coding RNA (LSAT_LNC001062)". Lineage: Eukaryota; Viridiplantae; Streptophyta; Magnoliopsida; Asterales; Asteraceae. The record is from RNAcentral.